GUGUCUUUCACCUUUACAUCUUCAUUCUAAUCAGCUUCAAAAAGAGAGAACAAGGGCUGGCAGAAGCGGGACCGCCCCUGGUGGCGGAGUCGUGGCGGAGCCACGACGGUGGCCGGUUUCUUUAAAUGGUUAGGGUUUCAAACAUGAGACGUCGGAGAACAAGGCCUUCUGGUUUUGGGGGGUUUUCACUAUGGCCACUUAAUAAUGGUUAGGGUUUCAAACAUGAGACGUCGGUUGUUGAAGGCGUCCGUUCAUGAGCUCCUGUGGUGGCGGCAAUUGUUGAUUGUGCCUAUCUUUCGGUUUCCUUUGUUAGGGGUCGAUGAUAGCUAGGGUUUCCUAUGCUGAGACUCUAACCGACUUUGAUAGGUGGUGGUUACUUUUAUCUACGAUUUAUCGGUCACGAUGUGUUUCUUCAUCUGAGAUGUUCUUGAUUUGAAUAAUGAAACCCUAAGUCGCUUAUGUAUUAUUUUUGCUGGUUAGGGUUUCUGCAGAUCAUGUAGAUUGUAUACAUAUAAAUCUGUGAUUUAUAGAGCUCCUUUGAUGAUGGAGCUACAUGCAUUUGGUCUAUGAUUCUGUUUUUGGCGUUUGGGUUACUGAGUUAGGCGAUGAUGAUUGUGUGGGUGUAAACCGAGUUGGGGAUUUCACCGUGGCGUGGCAUGUUUGAGAGAUGGUAGAUGUUCACCUGCAACCUCCAAUGCAGCCACGGUUAUCUCCUUCAUUUACACCAUCUGAGCCGUAAUGCUCUUUUUAUAUUGGAACUGGUUGCGUUAUAUAUAUGUAUUAAUAGUCACGCAUUUAUCUACUGCUAAUUGGAUGCUUUUCUCUAAUUCUAAGGAUGGGUCAUUAGCUCAGAUUUAGGAAAAUUUUCUACCCUGCAAGACACCGCAUCAGCGGUUAUAAAUGCACGAUUAUACUUGUGGACCUGUUCGGGUUGGAACACAUUUUGGCCAGAGAUUGUUACAGGCAUGCUAAAGGGUGAGCGCAACAAACUUGGCAACCGUGUUGAAAAAGAAGCAGUUGAAGAUGGUUUCUUAGAUUACUAUAGCGGCUAACAAGUGUUUGGUUUUCAAAUCUGAGUCACCUUUAUGAAAUCCAUAAUUAUGAGGUAUACGAAAACGAAAUCUCCUGCCACUCAAGGAUCAAUGGUAUGGCAUUUGUAGCACCCACCUUCAUACGGAAUUAAGUUUGUUAGAUCUUAGUUGCGAAGGUUUUCUAAUUUUUAUGUAUGUUUCCUAUGUAUGCGUUAGGUCAUAUAUAAUACAUUUUGAUUCUGAUUUGACGGUGUUAAUUUGACUUAGUUUGUGUUUUGACCCGCCGCAACACAUGGCGGGUAGGUUUUACAUCUCAGCGUAAAUUAUUUUGU
RNAcentral lists this long non-coding RNA (1363 nucleotides) under Helianthus annuus (common sunflower). RNAcentral describes it as "hypothetical non coding rna". Lineage: Eukaryota; Viridiplantae; Streptophyta; Magnoliopsida; Asterales; Asteraceae. The record is from RNAcentral.